Molecule: long non-coding RNA, 541 nt
Organism: Octopus bimaculoides (California two-spot octopus)
Lineage: Eukaryota; Metazoa; Mollusca; Cephalopoda; Octopoda; Octopodidae
Source: RefSeq, a predicted model, not a curated record
CAACGCACACUCAUUGUUAUUUACAUAUUUUACACAAUAUAUAAAAUGUUUGUUUAUUCAUAUAUACAUAUUUGGAAAAUUUUUUUAAUUUUCGAAUAGAAAACACAAACACACAACACGUACAGGUACAUGUAUUUGUGCGUGUCUGCAUGUUUGUUUAAAUAUGCGCUACCUAAACUGUAUGUGUUCUUUCGUUAAGAGCAGUCCUCUGAUCGAAGGUGUUCCAGGUACAACCAGCCUAUCUUAUUUUCAGACACUGUACAUCUAGGAAACAGUAUCCAACGUGUCCUUCUCUUUUAAAGACAGUUUUGAAUCGGCUUUGAUGGAAGAGGAUAAAGGGAAACCAAAAAGUAAAUAUUCAUAUUAUAGAUAUGGACGUGAUGAUCUCAAGCGCCAAGCCGUGGAGUAUUAUCAAAAGAAUAAAGUUCCACAAAAAAUUGAAGAGGUUCUGAAUAACUUAUUUUAUGAUCAGCCACCUGAUAUUUAUGGAUAUUUGGUGAACUUCUUCCAGAAAUUUGCACUUCCUGCAAUUAUAAGUAGG